GGGGAAGGGCUCAGGGGUGGAGCAUCUGCUUUGCAUGCAGAAGGUCCCAGGUUCAAUCCUCCGGAUCUCCA
RNAcentral lists this transfer RNA (71 nucleotides) under Podarcis lilfordi (Lilford's wall lizard). RNAcentral describes it as "tRNA.Ala". The record is from RNAcentral. Lineage: Eukaryota; Metazoa; Chordata; Lepidosauria; Squamata; Lacertidae.